GCGUGAGUGAUGAAGGCCUUAGGGUUGUAAAGCUCUUUUACCCGGGAAGAUAAUGACUGUACCGGGAGAAUAAGCUCCGGCUAACUCCGUGCCAGCAGCCGCGGUAAUACGGAGGGAGCUAGCGUUGUUCGGAAUUACUGGGCGUAAAGCGCACGUAGGCGGCUUUGUAAGUUAGAGGUGAAAGCCUGGGGCUCAACUCCAGAAUUGCCUUUAAGACUGCAUCGCUUGAACACGGAAGAGGUGAGUGGAAUUCCGAGUGUAGAGGUGAAAUUCGU
This 275-nucleotide ribosomal RNA is filed under the name uncultured bacterium. Its description in RNAcentral is "partial 16S ribosomal RNA". It matches the Rfam family "Bacterial small subunit ribosomal RNA", at positions 399 to 691 of the family's 1533-position model. The record is from RNAcentral.